AUGCCCGAUGGGCCUCCGUCCUGCUCCUCGGUCUGGGCCCAGCGCGGGGCCCUCGCAGGAACCCUUGGCUCCCUCUCCAGACGCUGGGGCCAAAGGGCGGGGGCGUGCCGGGGGCGGGCUGCUCGGGAGGGCCCCUGCCCCUCGGGCACCCACCCACAGAGGCUGAACUGUGCCCUGCGCCGACGUGUCCGGACUCCACACCCCCACCUCGCUGUCCAGCUAAGCCCAGGAAAGCACCUCAUGGGUGAGGUCGCGGCUGGGUCCCCGGCGUGGGGGUGUGGCCAUGGCUCCGGAACCCGUGGCCUCUCCCCAGGAAGGCAGCUUGGACUCCCAAGGGGGCCCAGGGACCCCAAGCCCCGCUGCGACCCGCCUCCCUGCAGGGGAGGCACGGCCUCUGGCUUGAGCCCGGGGGGCCCCCAGGAGAAGCCCCCAGACCAGGAGGGCGAGGGGAGCGCUCAGGCUCAUGGGAGGAGGGGAGGGGGUCCCCAGGAGAUGAAGGAAGGAGGGGACACCCCGGGGGGGAGGACAGCCUCUGACCCCCCGGCCCAGCUUCCAGGGGACUGUCCCCUCUGGCAGCAUCUGACCCCCACCUCUCCUCCUGACCCAGCGCCUCCUGCCUCCCCUUCCAGGCACCAAGGGGCCCCGGGGGACAGGGUGCCCUGUCAGGGGGUCCUGGGCGAGGCCCUCCAAGCUGGUCCCGAGGUAGACACGGGAUGGGCAGUUCUAGCCGCCCUGGGGCCCGCAGCCAAACCCCUGCCUGAGGACAGAGGCCACCCCUUCCUCCCCCGCCGGCUCCCUCCACGGAGCCAGCCUGAGCCAGGACGUGGUUGCCCGGGGCUCCCGGACCCAAGCAGACCGCCCGGUUUGGGUGGGGGGUUCUGGCUUAGGGGCGUUGGGCAUUACCUCCUCAUGAUGAGGUCCUCUUCCCAGUGUAGACGGUGCUCUCGGGGACCGAUAGUUCAGAUCCAAGUAACUGGAUCCAGUGACUCAGAUCUGCUCUGCUCCUUCCGCCGGUUCCUCGGGCUUUAUGGCCCCAACGUGGGCGGAUCUGGACAGAGGUCAGAGACCAGGGAUCCCAGCAGCAGUGGCGGCUGGUGCUCCCCAGCUGGCUCCCCCCUCCCCCUGAGGACCCACCCGAGGUGCUUCGACCCCCACGGGGGACCCGCACCCCCGGGCCCACACCCCCUGGCCGCCACCAGCAGAAUGUCCGGAUGUUGCUUUGCGACCUGGAGGAUUGGAGCUGAAACUGGGCUGACAGGUGGUCCGGAAGCUGGAAAACCGUCCCGACCUCCCACCCCACCCCUUGUGCUCCUGGCACAGGCCUCCUCCUGGAGCGGGUUUGCCCGGAGCCACGGGCAAGGGGUGGGGCUCUCCCCAGUCGGACUGGGCAUCCUUAGGGGGAGCCACGUCGGGGCCCUGGCGUGGACACGGACCCUGGCACAGGCGCCUAGAGAAGGGCGCGCACCUGCGGCCGAGCCUUGGGUGGGAACGGGGCCUCCCCGCAGGGCCCCCCUGCCCCAACUCCAGGGUGCUGCUACAGGGGCCCCACGGUCCUGCGUGCUCCCAGCUUUAUUUAUGAAUAAAUAA
This 1587-nucleotide long non-coding RNA is filed under the name Canis lupus familiaris (dog). RNAcentral describes it as "lncRNA (ENSCAFG00040024971.1)". The record is from RNAcentral. Lineage: Eukaryota; Metazoa; Chordata; Mammalia; Carnivora; Canidae.